UACGUAGGGACCCAGCGUUGUUCGGAUUUACUGGGCGUAAAGGGCGCGUAGGCGGCGUGACAAGUCACUUGUGAAAUCUCUGGGCUUAACCCAGAACGGCCAAGUGAAACUGUUGUGCUAGAGUGCAGAAGGGGCAAUCGGAAUUCUCGGUGUAGCGGUGAAAUGCGUAGAUAUCGAGAGGAACACCAGAGGUGAAGACGGGUUGCUGGGCUGACACUGACGCUGAGGCGCGAAAGCCAGGGGAGCAAACGGG
This 253-nucleotide ribosomal RNA is filed under the name uncultured bacterium. RNAcentral describes it as "partial 16S ribosomal RNA". It matches the Rfam family "Bacterial small subunit ribosomal RNA", at positions 524 to 776 of the family's 1533-position model. The record is from RNAcentral.